This 301-nucleotide ribosomal RNA is filed under the name uncultured bacterium. RNAcentral's name for it is "partial 16S ribosomal RNA". It matches the Rfam family "Bacterial small subunit ribosomal RNA", at positions 509 to 809 of the family's 1533-position model. The record is from RNAcentral.
CAGUCGCCGCGGUAAAACGAAGGGUGCAAGCGUUACUCGGAAUUACUGGGCGUAAAGCGUGCGUAGGUGGUGGUUUAAGUCCGUUGUGAAAGCCCUGGGCUCAACCUGGGAAUUGCAGUGGAUACUGGGUCACUAGAGUGUGGUAGAGGAUAGUGGAAUUUCCGGUGUAGCAGUGAAAUGCGUAGAGAUCGGAAGGAACAUCUGUGGCGAAGGCGACUAUCUGGGCCAACACUGACACUGAGGCACGAAAGCGUGGGGAGCAAACAGGAUUAGAUACCCCAGUAGUCCCUGUCUCUUAUAA